Long non-coding RNA from Thalassophryne amazonica, 277 nucleotides. RefSeq lists it as uncharacterized. The record is from RefSeq and is a predicted model, not a curated record. The transcript has 2 exons. NCBI's taxonomy places the organism in Eukaryota, Metazoa, Chordata, Actinopteri, Batrachoidiformes, Batrachoididae.
CCUCGAGAGGAUCACAGGUUUUAUUCCUGCUGCAGGAAGAAGAAACAUGAUGAAUAUGUGACAGAAGAUCUAAAGGGGGGGAGAUCAGUGCUUCUGUCAGUGUCAAUGGGAGCAAAAACAUUCUGAUAAAACUAACAGAGUUCAAUUAUGUUGUCAUAGCAACAGCAUUUAGGUUUGCUGGUGUAUGAAGAAAAAUGGCGGGAAAAAAGGUCACAAUAACAGCAGCGUCUUAGAAACAAACAAACAAACAAAAUAAGAACAAAAACCGAGUUGGUGG